RNAcentral lists this transfer RNA (71 nucleotides) under Loxodonta africana (African savanna elephant). It matches the Rfam family "tRNA". Rfam says of the family: Transfer RNA (tRNA) molecules are approximately 80 nucleotides in length. Their secondary structure includes four short double-helical elements and three loops (D, anti-codon, and T loops). The record is from Rfam by way of RNAcentral. Lineage: Eukaryota; Metazoa; Chordata; Mammalia; Proboscidea; Elephantidae.
GCAUUGGUGGUCCAGUGACAGGAUUCUCGCCUUCCAUGAAGGAGACCUGGGUUCAAUUUCCAGCCAGUGUA